UACAGAGGUCCCGAGCGUUUGUUCGGAUUCACUGGGCGUAAAGGGUGCGUAGGCGGUCGGGUAAGUCUGAUGUGAAAUCUCACAGCUUAACUGUGAAACUGCAUUGGAUACUAUUCGGCUUGAGAGUUGGAGGGGGGACUGGAAUUCUUGGUGUAGCAGUGAAAUGCGUAGAUAUCAAGAGGAACACCAGUGGCGAAGGCGAGUCCCUGGACAACUUCUGACGCUGAGGCACGAAAGCUAGGGGAGCAAACAGG
RNAcentral lists this ribosomal RNA (254 nucleotides) under uncultured bacterium. Its description in RNAcentral is "partial 16S ribosomal RNA". It matches the Rfam family "Bacterial small subunit ribosomal RNA", at positions 524 to 776 of the family's 1533-position model. The record is from RNAcentral.